GUCUUACUCUGCUUGGGAGUAUACCGAACAGUCAAAUGAAUCCUUGAAAGGGACUCCUGUGAGAGAACAGGUACAACCUGACCUUUGAUAAGAACCUGAAAAUGCUGAAAUGAGUUGAACCAGAACCAAGGAGCGGAGAGAGCAUGCGUCGAGUGAGAAAGGUGAAAAGUUUAACAGAGAGGAAGACUCCUUACUUCAUCUGGACGACCACCUGGACGACCACCAGAGAGCACCACGCAUGUGCAAAUGGGAGGAGAGCUAAUUAGAAUGGAAUGCGAGGCUGAUGUUGCAACCUGUAAUGAAUAUGUAUACCUUACGUAAUAUUGAAUGUAUAAAUAACGAUCGGGAUGUAACGGGACUGGAAGCCAGAUUUGGGCACCUGCCCCGGCUUCCAGCGCUGAAUAAAGCACCUUCAUAUAAUCACUUGGUGGUUAUGUGGUUGCUACGCUAACAUUUUGGCGACCCAGAUGAGACUGCGUGGGCAUUGCUGAGGUGGAUCGUGUCUCGGUUUCGCUCCAGCCGGCACCGAGGGAUUCUCGGGGAGCAGUCGACCGCGACCGACCUCCGCUGCUCACGACGUACCACUGGAGCGGUAAGCAAAGGUGCU
Long non-coding RNA from Cygnus olor (mute swan), 607 nucleotides. RefSeq lists it as uncharacterized. The transcript is spliced from 3 exons. NCBI's taxonomy places the organism in Eukaryota, Metazoa, Chordata, Aves, Anseriformes, Anatidae. The record is from RefSeq and is a predicted model, not a curated record.